Molecule: non-coding RNA, 47 nt
Filed under: Trichobilharzia regenti
Lineage: Eukaryota; Metazoa; Platyhelminthes; Trematoda; Strigeidida; Schistosomatidae
Source: RNAcentral
AUCCAGUGAUGAGUCUCAAAUAGGACGAAAUGCGCGUUAUCCUGGAU